Molecule: ribosomal RNA, 482 nt
Filed under: uncultured bacterium
Lineage: Bacteria
Description: partial 16S ribosomal RNA
Rfam family: Bacterial small subunit ribosomal RNA
Source: RNAcentral
GACGAACGCUGGAGGCGUGCUUAACACAUGCAAGUCGAACGAUGAAAUGGAGCUUGCUCCAUGGAUUAGUGGCGAACGGGUGAGUAACACGUGAAUAACCUGCCCUUAAUUUUGGAAUAACCCAGGGAAACCUGGGCUAAUACCGGAUAAGUAAACCUGUGGCAUCACAUGGUUUUGGAAAGUUUUUCGAUUAAGGAUGGAUUCGCGGCCUAUCAGCUUGUUGGUGAGGUAAUGGCUCACCAAGGCGACGACGGGUAGCCGUCCUGAGAGGGUAAACGGCCACACUGGGACUGAGAGACGGCCCAGGCUCCGACGGGAGGCAGUGGUGGGGAAUAUUGCGCAAUGGACGAAAGUCUGACGCAGCGACGCCUCGUGAGGGACGAAGGUCUUCGGAUUGUAAACCUCUUUCAGCAGGGACGAAGCGAAAGUGACGGUACCUGCAGAAGAAGCACCGGCUAACUAUGUGCCAGCCGCCGCCGUAA